This is an RNA transcript of Brassica oleracea var. oleracea, 1533 nucleotides long. RefSeq lists it as uncharacterized. The transcript is spliced from 6 exons. The record is from RefSeq and is a predicted model, not a curated record. Lineage: Eukaryota; Viridiplantae; Streptophyta; Magnoliopsida; Brassicales; Brassicaceae.
CAGGAAGAGAAAAAAACACUAGUUUCUGCCCCGGUUACUUUAGGUGGGAUGUGUAUGGCUUCUUGUUUGCUCAAUUACAAAUCAAAGCUCUCUUGAAACCCAAAAAGAUUCUCUCCAACAAACAGCCUGUGAAUAAAAAAGAAAAGCACAGAUCCACUCCCAAAGAUCGGAUCUUUUUGAAGGUUCUUGUUUCACUCAUCUGGAAAGUUCCAGGCUUUAACAAGAAAUGUCACAGAAACAUCUUGAAUCAUCACGAAACUCGAUCGAAUCUUGCACCUUACAGCUCCUCUCAUGGCGUCCAUUUCACCGCUCCAAAACCCUAGACCCAUCUGAACAGCCCCAGUCACAGAGCCCUUACGGCGGCUCCAUCUCCACCAAACGCCCUUGCUUCUCCGAUCGCUCCACCACUUCUUUCUCCAUCGAAGCUAUGAGCCGUCUCUCUCUCGCCGACGAAGACAAGCUCUCAGCUUCCAAUUGCAACAGUAAGGGGAGUUUCCGCUUAGUAGCGAGGAAGCGCCGGCGUCGCAAUUCUAGAUCGGUGUCUGGUCGGAGUAGCGAUCGGAGCGGGACUCUGAGAUGCUGCUCCAUCGGAGCUCACGGGACUUGCUCUGAUUUUCCGUUUGCUGUCGGUACGGAUUCGAGCGGUGAGCUGUUUAGCGAAGCGAAUUGGGCUUCCGAUGUGAGCGAGGCACGGAGAUCGCGGCAAGAGCGGCGGGAUUCCGGCGGAGAGAAGGAAGCUUCCGGGUUUGGGUUCCCCGUUGGUGUCGACCCGAUGGGGAACGAAUCUGGGUACGGGAGUGAGCCUGGGUACAGAGGAGAUGUUGAGUUUGGUUAUGGUGAUGAGUACGAUGAUGAAGAAGAAGACGUGAAGCCAUUGUUUUGGGGAGAUUCAACUGUGGAGAUGUCUGGUGAUGCGAAAUUCUCAGAUAGUAAACCUCAGUUCAGGUGCCGCAGGAGACGACAACAUGACUACAAAACUGUUGAUUCCAUGAGAUAACACACAUUGGCACACACAUAAGACAAGUUGGACUUCGGUUCACGGCCAAAGCUUUUUCGGCCCAAUUCCAUGAGAUAACACACAUUAAUUAGCACACAGACAUUCUUUCAAGACAAGCGGGUCUUAUUGGAGGAACUUUCCAUGUAUUUUUUUUAACUUUUAACAAGACCUGGAAAUUUAAGAGCUUCUUCUCUAGCAAAUUUUUUUAUAUAUAUGUGUAUAGUGGAUCUGUAUUUGUUGUAGGCCAUCUUGAUGCCACGCGUUGCUUUCGUAGUGUUUUGGGAGGAGAAAACGAGGGGAGAAAAAAUCAGUUUGAAGGGGAAGAAAAAAAUGGGUGGAUCAGACGAGAACAAGCACGGAGUUAUCGGACCCAUGAAUCCACAAGGUGGUUUACGUGGAGGAAAGGUGAAUCCGGCGAAUGGGCAGACACGAAGAGCACUCAGUAACAUAAACAAGAACAUCAUCGGAGCUCCGGUUUAUCCUUGUGCUGUCAACAAGCGACCGUUGUUUGAGAAGAAUGUGAUGUGUAACAAGAA